UUUAGGCGCUCCCCUUUUACUUAUAUUCCGCAGCUGUACUGAAACCCUUAGUUGUCUUGGAUCCCUGCGUGCUGUGCGGUGCCUCUCCUCAGCACGGGAACUGUGAGCUGUUUUCAACUUCUCUUCUUAGUGGCACUGAGCUCUCUAAAUUGCCACUCUACACACCUCUCUACAUUAAAACCCAGUCAGAGCUUAGACUGCAGCAAACAGAUACCCGCUAUGCUGAUCAAGGACGUGAUGUUUUCACUUAUGAAAGACUUAGCCCUGCAACUUCUAAGCCACAUGUUAUGGCUACUCCUCGAGGAAAAGUUGAUGCUGUUUUCCCCAGAGUAUAUAACAGAUCAACACACCGUGUUAAAUGAAAUCAUACAGUGGAGUUGUCGGUAUGCAGUGGAAACUGCUCUGACCUAUAUAAUCCGGAACAUGGCUGCUGUUGUCAAUAACUUGUUUAAGGGAAACAUUCUACAAAACUUCCCAUACUUCUCUAAGAAGGAGCGUCGUGAAGCAGCAUGUCUAUAUACAGUUUAAAAGAAACUAUAAAGGCAUAUGGAAAUUAUGUCCAGUCGUUGGAUUUUCCUUGCCUUUCUCGUGCAGUCUCAAAUGAAAAGAUCAAAUACGUUCCUGACACAAGCAGAAUAUAGGCGUGAUUGCAAUAACUGCUGAAAGUGAUUUUCUUUCAUCGAAAUCAGCUUUCUUCCAAUUUUGACAAAUUCGCUUGCCGAAGAAAUUUGAAACGGACUGAAAUAAAGCUGUUGCGAAAUGGCAUGCAGUCUGUGGUCUGUUUGUGUGGUGAGAUCUGUUGUGGGUUUCGGCGGGCUGUCGCUCAGGCGGUAAAAGAAGCUUCCAGACAGAACGAAAAGUUGAAUAGCUGCACUGCUACGGGCAAGAGUGGGCCAGAGACGGGAGGUGACCGUGUGAGCGCCGGGGUGACCGUGCCGGGUGUUUUUUUGAGGAAAGGGCUGCGAACCCAGAGGGAUGGUGGAGCGUGAUCAUGUCGUGAACAGAUUUCUGAUUGGCUACAAGUGAGUUGCAGGGAUCAUCCCUUGGAUCCACCACUCCAGGGUUAAGAGAGUGACUUCACCUCAGACAGAGGGUCCCUGGAGAAUUGAGAGCAUCCCGGGAGACCCGCUCAAGAUCAAGAUCAAGAGGGACCAGAAAAAGAUCGACGAGCCCUGCUCUAGCCACACCUGGAAGCUGGCUAGUCAACACACGGCCAAAGUUUGAGGAAAGCUCAACAAAACUGUUAAAUAUAUUCCUCUUGUGCUCCCUUGCCUCUUUCCUUGUUUGCUAUACUAGCCUGCAUAUUAGCAGUGGGGCUGGCCAGCACCGCCCCACCUGACUGGAAUAUAGGCCAUAGGAUCCUGAUAGCUAUUAUAUACCUUGUUAUAACUAGUGCCAUCACCGCAGCAUCAUGUCUAAGAUAACCAUAAGGCUGAUGUUACUGACGCUAAUGCCCUCACUCCCCUUGGCUUCACAAUGCACCUGCACUGAACCGGGUGACAUGUCGUCCAUGUACCGACCUGUAUAUUCAGCUUAUACUUAUCAACCGAGCUGAUGCUAUGACUCCACUUCAGAGUGCACAUAUCAAGGCAGAUCCUACUGGACUGGCAUGAUUAAGGCUUAUUAUGUAUCUGGCAUCAAGUGCUAUGGCACACCAGGCAAGCUAGUGUGCUGGACCAAGCAAACACACUAUGGGAUGAGUGAUGGAGGAGGAGUACAGGACCAGGCAUGCUGGCAAGUAGUCCAACAAGCAGUCCAGAGGCAACACCAAAAGUUAUUACCUACCCAGGAGCCAAUAAAGCUUCUAUCUUUAGCCGAGCCUCAGGAUCUAGACCCACAAAUAGAUGAGCUGUUGGCUGCAGUCCAUGGGAUUCUCAAUCAUUCCAAUCCAGACAUGGCUAAAGAUUGCUGGUUAUGCUUACAUCCUGGCCCCAUCCAGCACCUGGCUUUACCUUUGACAAACUUCACUAAGACUUUCACUAUGACUAAUAGCGAUGCUGCCUCUACCACUAGAAGUUCCAGGCUAAACUCCGUACAGCUCGCCUACAAGGCACCAGAAUGUUAUUUCAAUAAUGGAACUAAUCCUUUAGAGGGCAAUCUAACUAUAAAACAAUGUAUUAAAACCUCACACUAUAUGGGUCUAGGGUGCCAACCCACACAAGGAUGCUGUUCUAAUAACAGGACUUAUUUUGUGUGUAGCGAAUUUGCCUACCAGUGCCUCCCCACCAGUUGGGCAGAGUUAUGUGCUUUAGCUUACCUCAUUCCCUGAAUGGACAUUAUGCCUAAUAAUCAAAGUCUGCCUAUCCCUGUCAUAACUCACCAGCAUCCACGAAGGAUAAAAUGACCCAUACUACUGAUCCCCUUGCUAGUGGGGCUCCGAGUGGCAACAGGGGUAGGCACAGGAAUCGGUGGCAAAGCCUCAUCCUCUUAUUCCUAUUAUCAGCUUACAGGUGAGUUCAGCCAAGAUCUCCAAUGAAUAGCAGAAACCCUGAGAGCUCUGCAAAAUCAGAUUGACUCUCUAGCCAAGGUGGUCUUACAAAACAGGAGGGGUCUGGACCUACUGACGGCCAAAGAGAGGGGAAUGUGCCUCUUCCUAAAUGAAGAGUGCUGCUUUUAUGCCAAUCAAUCAGGAAUUGUCAGAGGGAUGAUUCAAGAGUUACAAGACAGAGUGGAAAAGAGGAAGCAUAUUUUAGGCAAGAGCCCAAAGACAGGCCCCUGGAGCUGGAUCUCCUGGCUGGCACCGUUCACAAGUCCCUUGCUCCUAAUUUUUGCAGUUCUGCUGUUUAGGCCCUGUAUCCUAAACUUCCUGACCCACUUUGUCAGUGAGCAGAUAGAGGUUAUAAAACUCCAGAUGUUAGCCUUCAAUUAUGAGCCCCUGCAACAGAUAAGUGAUGAUGCUUACUCCAAGAAAGGUUGUGAAAGCAUCAAGAGAGGGGAAUGAGAAGGAAAAGCCGGGCUAGGCUAACAAGCUAACUCAUAAAUCUAAGUGUAAUAAGUGUCGGUUUACUCAUCUCAGUUCUGCUGUGCUAACUCGUAAAUCUGAAGUUUAGUAAGUGUCAGUUUACUGGGUUAACAAGUUAAUUUGUAAAUCCAAGGUCAACAAGUGUCAGUAACACGAUCUGUUCCUACAAGAUAAGUUCCAGUGUACUGAUUCCUUGCUUUUGCUGUUUGUGCCUUAUUGGCUAAUAGCCCAAUCCUUGUAAUUAACCCUAUAAAACCUCAUGCACAGGUCUUGAAGGUGCUCAGGGCUUUGAAGCAGAAGCCCUUCUGAGCCUGCUGACAUAAUAAAUCUGAGUACUCCAACCCUCCAA
Camelus dromedarius (Arabian camel) is the source of this 3311-nucleotide long non-coding RNA. RefSeq lists it as uncharacterized. NCBI's taxonomy places the organism in Eukaryota, Metazoa, Chordata, Mammalia, Artiodactyla, Camelidae. The transcript is spliced from 2 exons. The record is from RefSeq and is a predicted model, not a curated record.